This 445-nucleotide ribosomal RNA is filed under the name uncultured bacterium. RNAcentral's name for it is "partial 16S ribosomal RNA". It matches the Rfam family "Bacterial small subunit ribosomal RNA", at positions 338 to 795 of the family's 1533-position model. The record is from RNAcentral.
CCUACGGGGGGCUGCAGUCGAGGAUCUUCGGCAAUGGGCGAAAGCCUGACCGAGCGACGCCGCGUGGAUGAUGAAGGCCUUCGGGUUGUAAAAUCCUGUCGAGGGGGAUCAAGGGCAACUUGAGUGAUCCCUGGAGGAAGCACGGGCUAAGUUCGUGCCAGCAGCCGCGGUAAGACGAACCGUGCAAACUUUAUUCGGAAUCACUGGGCAUAAAGGGCGCGUAGGCGGCUGUCUAAGUCAGGGGUGAAAGCCGGCAGAUCAACGGUCGCAGUGCCUUUGAUACUGGAGAGCUCGAGGGAGGUAGGGGUCUGUGGAACGUGAGGUGGAGCGGUGAAAUGCGUUGAUAUCGGAAGGAACGCCGGUGGCGAAAGCGACGGACUGGAUCUCGUCUGACGCUGAGGCGCGAAAGCCAGGGGAGCAAACGGGAUUAGAUACCCCAGUAGUC